This 353-nucleotide non-coding RNA is filed under the name Cryptosporidium parvum. The record is from RNAcentral. Lineage: Eukaryota; Apicomplexa; Conoidasida; Eucoccidiorida; Cryptosporidiidae.
AGUUCCUUUACAAGGAUUACAAGGAGACUGAGUUUGUUGAACCAUUGGUCCAAUUUGUCUAAUUUGCACUCUGACACCUUGACCUUGGCAAAGCUCACAAUACUGGAUGGCAUCUUUCGGCCCACCAACACCUUCACAAUCUGCACAGAUAGUAUCUUUAUUUAUUGCCAUCUUUCUUACUGCUCCGUUGUAAAUCUGUUCCAAAGUGACCUUGAGGUGAGUUACCAAAUCUUCGCCACGUCUCUUUCCACCUCCUCUACUGCCUGCGCGUCUUCCACCUCCGAAAAUUACAUCAAAUAAGUCAACUGGAUCUGCUCCUCCUCCUCCUCCCUCUAAUCCUUCCUCACCGUAUU